UACGAGGGGUGCAAGCGUUAUUCGGAUUUAUUGGGCGUAAAGGGUGCGUAGGCGGCAUAUUAAGUCAGCUGUUAAAUUUCCUGGCCUAACCGGGAGCAUGCGGCAGAUACUGAUAUGCUAGAGGGUGGAAGAGAGAAGUGGAAUUCUCGGAGUAGCGGUAAAAUGCGUAGAUCUCGAGAGGAACACCGAUGGCGAAGGCAGCUUCUUGGUCCACAUCUGACGCUGAGUGCACGAAAGCGUGGGGAGCAAACAGG
RNAcentral lists this ribosomal RNA (254 nucleotides) under uncultured bacterium. RNAcentral describes it as "partial 16S ribosomal RNA". It matches the Rfam family "Bacterial small subunit ribosomal RNA", at positions 524 to 776 of the family's 1533-position model. The record is from RNAcentral.